CCUAUCUUGUGGUAUGAACUGGGUACGCGAUGAUUUACACUGCGUAUUGGGGGCUUACCAUAAGAUNNN
RNAcentral lists this microRNA precursor (69 nucleotides) under Oryza barthii. Its description in RNAcentral is "pre miRNA MIR1428". The record is from RNAcentral. Lineage: Eukaryota; Viridiplantae; Streptophyta; Magnoliopsida; Poales; Poaceae.